This is a small nuclear RNA of Nycticebus coucang (slow loris), 147 nucleotides long. RefSeq annotates it as U4 spliceosomal RNA. The transcript has a single exon. The record is from RefSeq and is a predicted model, not a curated record. NCBI's taxonomy places the organism in Eukaryota, Metazoa, Chordata, Mammalia, Primates, Lorisidae.
AGCUUUGCGCAAUGGCAGUAUCGUAGCCAAUGAGGUUUAUCCGAGCUGCAAUUAUUGCUAAUAGAAAUAAUUAAACACACGAACAAUUUCCUGUUGCGUGACGAUUGUGUCCACUUUCUCUCGGUGAACAUAGUAGUCGUCAGGAGA